CUAGAGCGGAAAUGCAGUGUCUGCAAGUUUUGCUACAGAUCGAACUUCUCCCUGCGAGAUGAGCCGGACAUUCGACGAAGUGGAAAAUUGGGCAAGCUAACGACGAAGAAAAUAUACUAUGAUGCAAGAGCGCCGUUGAAAGUAAAGAUGUUCGCUUGGGGAUCGCCUUUCCACAAAAGGAAACCUGCUGAAGAAAAAGAUAGUGCAAACGUCGAUUUUGCACAGGGGGAAGAUUAG
This 237-nucleotide long non-coding RNA is filed under the name Oryza sativa Indica Group (long-grained rice). RNAcentral's name for it is "lncRNA OsLiXu_06g0024170". Lineage: Eukaryota; Viridiplantae; Streptophyta; Magnoliopsida; Poales; Poaceae. RNAcentral also lists the same sequence under 2 other names. The record is from RNAcentral.